RNAcentral lists this unclassified non-coding RNA (1868 nucleotides) under uncultured fungus. RNAcentral describes it as "sequence contains 18S rRNA gene, ITS1, 5.8S rRNA gene, ITS2, 28S rRNA gene". The stretch from base 684 to 1868 matches the Rfam family "Eukaryotic large subunit ribosomal RNA", at positions 1 to 961 of the family's 3401-position model. Lineage: Eukaryota; Fungi. The record is from RNAcentral.
GGGGGGAUCAUUAAACUUGAAACUUGGUGGUACUACUCUUGUGGUCCCACCAUUUUUUAUACAACAAAUCACCGUUUUCUGUUGAAACCACUUUUAACAAAACACAAACAACAAGAUUAACCCAAUUCGAUCGAUUCAUUUUUGUAAACCACAAACUUGUGUAGUGUUCAAUCACAGCACAACUUAAAGAAACAAAAAAAAAACGACUCGCAACAACGGAUAUCUUGGUUCUCGCAACGAUGAAGAACGCAGCGAACUGCGAAACGUAAUGCGAAUUGCAGAAUUCAGUGAAUCAUCAAAUGUUUGAACGCAAAUGGCGCUUUUGCUAACCGCAAGAGCACGUCUCUAGGAGAGUCGUUUUUCCCCUCCUCUUUUCUCCACUUUCGGGUGGAAAAAAAGAGGGAAAAUGGGUUGUUUCUCGAGUCAAAUCAAGAAUCACCUGAAUACCAUAGAGCUCUUCUUGUGUCGAUUCUGGAUGGUUUUCAUUUCUAUCCCUUGGUACACAUCACAACAACAUUCACUUGGAGCAAACAGUGGAUAUUGCCUGAAUAAGGCUUUCCUAUUGUUUUUGCGCCAAUGAACAUACAAAUGAUGGCAAGGGAAUUCAGAAGAACCAUUACCCCAAACAAAUCACCAAGAAAUCUCAUCCAACCAAACAAAUCAUAACCUUUCUUAAAAUUAGAAGACCUCCUAUGAAACGAGAGAACCCGCUGAACUUAAGCAUAUUAUUAAGCGGAGGAAAAGAAACUAACAAGGAUCCCGUCAGUAACGGCGAGUGAAGCCGGGAGAGCUCAAGCCGAAAUCUGCAGGUCUCGCGACCUCGCUAGAAUUGUGGCCUCGAGACACGUUGUCAUGGUGGCAGCCAGAGCCAAGUCCGCUGGAACGCGGCAUCAAAGAGGGUGAGAAUCCCGUCUCUGCUCUGGCCUUUUCUUCACAGCCCCAGUCCGACACGUGUUCACAGAGUCGUGUUGCUUGGGAGUGCAGCACAAAUUGGGUGGUACACGUCAUCCAAAGCUAAAUAUGGGCGAGAGACCGAUAGCGAACAAGUACCGUGAGGGAAAGAUGAAAAGCACUUGGAAACGAGAGUGAAAUAGAGCUUGAAAUUGUUGCGAGGAAAGCACUGGUGAAGGUUUAUUCGUGUCGUGGUGGGUUUGAAGUGGCUGGUUGUUUGAGGUGGGGGGGCGAGCUUUAAACCGCUCCCUUGUCACAAAUCAAUCAGACUAAAUACUUCCAUCACGACACCGCUGGCAUCGCUUUGGUAACUAGAGUUGGAGAAACUCGGGACGAAGGUAGCGGAUCUGCCUGCAACAAGCUCGCCAUGAUCCGAAUCAUACAGCGUCUCGAGCAAUACAACGACCCAGAGCGACCCUCUUCAUUUGCAGAGGAAAACUUGAGUGAGAGCUGGAGGCUUCAGGUGUGUUACGUCGAAAUUGGUUCAAUGAUCCCGUUUUGGCGUGGCAUUCUUCCGGGCCUUCCUCCAACACCAAGUCAAGCCGGCGCAACUUUUUGAAAAAAGCCCACCAAUAUCCCGUCUUGAAACACGGACCAAGGAGUCUAACGUGUGUGCGAGUAUUUGAGUGAUUCAAGCUCGAAUGCGUAGUGAAAGCAAGCGUGACGUACGUCUCGUGAGGUGUGAUUGUGCGUGUCCUUAAAAAACAACGUACAAGCAACAUCGGCCGCCCUCGGUGUUGAGGAGUGAAGCACGAGCAUACGCGUUGGGACCCGAAAGAUGGUGAUCUAUGCUUGGGCAGGGUGAAGCCAGGGGAAACCCUGGUGGAGGCUCGUAGCGGUACUGACGUGCAAAUCGUUCGUCGGAUCUGAGUAUAGGGGCGAAAGACUAAUCGAACCAUCUAGUAGCUGGUUCCCUC